RNAcentral lists this ribosomal RNA (519 nucleotides) under uncultured bacterium. RNAcentral's name for it is "bacterial SSU rRNA". It matches the Rfam family "Bacterial small subunit ribosomal RNA", at positions 8 to 518 of the family's 1533-position model. The record is from RNAcentral.
AGAGUUUGAUUAUGGCUCAGGAUGAACGCUAGCGACAGGCUUAACACAUGCAAGUCGAGGGGCAUCACGGGAGUAGCAAUACAACUGGUGGCGACCGGCGCACGGGUGAGUAACGCGUAUGCAACCUACCUAUCAGAGGGGAAUAACCCGGCGAAAGUCGGACUAAUACCGCAUAAAACAGGGGCACCGCAUGGUGAUAUUUGUUAAAGAAAUUCGCUGAUAGAUGGGCAUGCGUUCCAUUAGGUAGUUGGUGAGGUAACGGCUCACCAAGCCGACGAUGGAUAGGGGAACUGAGAGGUUGGUCCCCCACACUGGUACUGAGACACGGACCAGACUCCUACGGGAGGCAGCAGUGAGGAAUAUUGGUCAAUGGGCGGGAGCCUGAACCAGCCAAGUCGCGUGAAGGAAGAAGGAUCUAUGGUUCGUAAACUUCUUUUGCAGGGGAAUAAAGUGCAGGACGUGUCCUGUUUUGUAUGUACCCUGAGAACAAGGAUCGGCUAACUCCGUGCCAGCAGCAGC